UUGAAAAGAACUUUGAAGAGAGAGUUCAAGAGUACGUGAAACCGUUCAGGGGUAAACCUAAGAAACCCAAAAGAUCGAACGGGGAGAUUCAUCGUCAGCGGCGCUGGCUUCGCGUCGGUGGGCGAUGUCCCGCGGAGUCCUCGCGGCUCGCGCGCGGGCACGCUACCGUGCGUCGAUGUCCGGCUGUCGUCGUCGUGCACUUCUCCCCAAGUAGAACGUCGCGACCCGCUGGGUGUCGGUCUACGGCCCGGGUGCGGUGACUGUCGCGUCGCCGGUAAAACGGCACGCGACAAACCCUCGGUAGCCCGGCCGGCUGCUCGGCGGUACGCGCAAGGUAUCAGGUCGCACCUACGGUGCGUCGAGGACGUCGCAAGCGCGCGCCACGGUACUCGGAGGUCACGGACUUUGCGCCGUCCCCGGUCCUGGCCCGCUGCUGGUUAAAGUACGUAUAACCUUCGACAGGCCUGCGAACGUUCCUCUUCGGAGGAACGGAUACCGGUCGGCGACGCUACUGCUUUGGGUACUCUUAGGACCCGUCUUGAAACACGGACCAAGGAGUCUAACAUGUACGCGAGUCAUUGGGACUUGUCGCGAGACCUAAAGGCGUAAUGAAAGUGAAGGUCGGCCCUGGCCGUCGACCGAGGGAGGAUGGGCCGCGUCGCGAUGCGGCCUCGCACUCCCGGGGCGUCUCGUUCUCAUAGCGAGAAGAGGCGCACCCAGAGCGUACACGUUGGGACCCGAAAGAUGGUGAACUAUGCCUGGUCAGGACGAAGUCAGGGGAAACCCUGAUGGAGGUCCGUAGCGAUUCUGACGUGCAAAUCGAUCGUCGGAACUGGGUAUAGGGGCGAAAGACUAAUCGAACCAUCUAGUAGCUGGUUCCCUCCGAAGUUUCCCUCAGGAUAGCUGGCACUCAUGGACCGCACGCGAGUCUCAUCUGGUAAAGCGAAUGAUUAGAGGCCUUGGGGCCGAAACGACCUCAACCUAUUCUCAAACUUUAAAUGGGUGAGAUCUCUGGCUUUCUUGAAUUAUGAAGCCACGAGCAUCUCUCCGGAUCAGAGUGCCAAGUGGGCCAUUUUUGGUAAGCAGAACUGGCGCUGUGGGAUGAACCAAACGCAGAGUUAAGGCGCCCAACUCGACGCUCAUGGGACACCAUGAAAGGCGUUGGUUGCUUAAGACAGCAGGACGGUGGCCAUGGAAGUCGGAAUCCGCUAAGGAGUGUGUAACAACUCACCUGCCGAAGCAACUAGCCCUGAAAAUGGAUGGCGCUGAAGCGUCGAGCCUAUACUCUGCCGUCAGCGGCAAGUGGGGCGGCGACGGGAGCGUUGCGCGCGUCGGGCCGCGUUUGCGGCUCUCUCGCGAGGCAUACGUCUCCCACGAGUCGUCACGAAGCCCUGACGAGUAGGAGGGUCGCGACGGUGAGCGCAGAAGGGUCU
RNAcentral lists this ribosomal RNA (1433 nucleotides) under Polyrhachis rastellata. Its description in RNAcentral is "partial 28S ribosomal RNA". It matches the Rfam family "Eukaryotic large subunit ribosomal RNA", at positions 364 to 1413 of the family's 3401-position model. Lineage: Eukaryota; Metazoa; Arthropoda; Insecta; Hymenoptera; Formicidae. The record is from RNAcentral.